GUGUCAGCAGCCGCGGUAAUACGAAGGGGGCUAGCGUUGUUCGGAAUUACUGGGCGUAAAGCGCACGUAGGCGGAUCUGUAAGUAGGGGGUGAAAUCCCCGGGCUCAACCCGGGAACUGCCUUCUAGACUGCAAGUCUUGAGAUCAGGAGAGGCGAGUGGAAUUCCGAGUGUAGAGGUGAAAUUCGUAGAUAUUCGGAGGAACACCAGUGGCGAAGGCGACUCGCUGGACUGAUACUGACGCUGAGGUGCGAAAGCGUGGGGAGCAAACAGGAUUAGAAACCCUUGUAGUCC
This 292-nucleotide ribosomal RNA is filed under the name uncultured bacterium. RNAcentral describes it as "partial 16S ribosomal RNA". It matches the Rfam family "Bacterial small subunit ribosomal RNA", at positions 505 to 796 of the family's 1533-position model. The record is from RNAcentral.